CUGCUGCCUCCCGUAGGAGUCUGGGCCGUGUCUCAGUCCCAGUGUGGCCGUCCACCCUCUCAGGCCGGCUGCUGAUCGUCGCUUUGGUGGGCCGUUACCCCGCCAACUGGCUAAUCAGACGCGGGCCCAUCCUGUACCACCGGAGUUUUCAAAGGAUUACCAUGCGGUAUUCCCUAUUAUGCGGUAUUAGCACCUAUUUCUAAGUGUUAUCCCCCGGUACAGGGCAGGUUGCCCACGCGUUACUCACCCGUCCGCCACUAAGACAAG
RNAcentral lists this ribosomal RNA (267 nucleotides) under uncultured bacterium. RNAcentral describes it as "partial 16S ribosomal RNA". The record is from RNAcentral.